RNAcentral lists this transfer RNA (64 nucleotides) under Wagnerinus harmandi. RNAcentral describes it as "tRNA-Val". The record is from RNAcentral. Lineage: Eukaryota; Metazoa; Arthropoda; Insecta; Coleoptera; Curculionidae.
AAAUUAAAGCUUUAUUUAAGCAUUUUAUUUACAUUAAAAAGAUUGUCAUAAUGAUAUAGUUUGA